RNAcentral lists this non-coding RNA (19 nucleotides) under Arabidopsis thaliana (thale cress). Lineage: Eukaryota; Viridiplantae; Streptophyta; Magnoliopsida; Brassicales; Brassicaceae. RNAcentral also lists the same sequence under 2 other names. The record is from RNAcentral.
CUUGGUGGUAGUAGCAAAU